AGCUCCACAGCAAUAAUACUCCCAGUAAUGUGUCUGAGUGUAUAACAGAACUCCACAGCAAUAAUACUCCCAGUAAUGUGUCUGUGUAUAACAGAACUCCACAGCAAUAAUACUCCCAGUAAUGUGUCUGAGUGUAUAACAGAGCUCCACAGCAAUAAUACUCCCAGUAAUGUGUCUGAGUGUAUAACAGAGCUCCACAGCAAUAAUACUCCCA
Non-coding RNA from Pelobates cultripes (western spadefoot toad), 214 nucleotides. NCBI's taxonomy places the organism in Eukaryota, Metazoa, Chordata, Amphibia, Anura, Pelobatidae. The record is from the annotation of a GenBank genome assembly.